GAUGAACGCUGGCGGCGUGCCUAAUACAUGCAAGUCGAGCGAACAGACGAGGAGCUUGCUCCUCUGACGUUAGCGGCGGACGGGUGAGUAACACGUGGAUCACCUACCUAUAAGACUGGGAUAACUUCGGGAAACCGGAGCUAAUACCGGAUAAUAUAUUGAACCGCAUGGUUCAAUAGUUAAAGACGGUUUUGCUGUCACUUAUAGAUGGAUCCGCGCCGCAUUAGCUAGUUGGUAAGGUAACGGCUUACCAAGGCAACGAUGCGUAGCCGACCUGAGAGGGUGAUCGGCCACACUGGAACUGAGACACGGUCCAGACUCCUACGGGAGGCAGCAGUAGGGAAUCUUCCGCAAAGGGCGAAAGCCUGACGGAGCAACGCCGCGUGAGUGAUGAAGGUCUUCGGAUCGUAAAACUCUGUUAUUAGGGAAGAACAAAUGUGUAAGUAACUAUGCACGUCUUGACGGUACCUAAUCAGAAAGCCACGGCUAACUACGUG
Molecule: ribosomal RNA, 497 nt
Filed under: uncultured bacterium
Lineage: Bacteria
Description: partial 16S ribosomal RNA
Rfam family: Bacterial small subunit ribosomal RNA
Source: RNAcentral